GACGAACGCUGGCGGCGUGCUUAACACAUGCAAGUCGAACGGAAAGGCCCUGCUUUUGUGGGGUGCUCGAGUGGCGAACGGGUGAGUAACACGUGAGUAACCUGCCCUUGACUUUGGGAUAACUUCAGGAAACUGGGGCUAAUACCGGAUAGGAGCUCCUGCCGCAUGGUGGGGGUUGGAAAGUUUCGGCGGUUGGGGAUGGACUCGCGGCUUAUCAGCUUGUUGGUGGGGUAGUGGCUUACCAAGGCUUUGACGGGUAGCCGGCCUGAGAGGGUGACCGGCCACAUUGGGACUGAGAUACGGCCCAGACUCCUACGGGAGGCAGCAGUGGGGAAUAUUGCACAAUGGGCGGAAGCCUGAUGCAGCAACGCCGCGUGCGGGAUGACGGCCUUCGGGUUGUAAACCGCUUUCGCCUGUGACGAAGCGUGAGUGACGGUAAUGGGUAAAGAAGCACCGGCUAACUACGAG
This 468-nucleotide ribosomal RNA is filed under the name uncultured bacterium. RNAcentral's name for it is "partial 16S ribosomal RNA". It matches the Rfam family "Bacterial small subunit ribosomal RNA", at positions 28 to 507 of the family's 1533-position model. The record is from RNAcentral.